This 1193-nucleotide long non-coding RNA is filed under the name Piliocolobus tephrosceles (Ugandan red Colobus). Its description in RNAcentral is "lncRNA (ENSPTEG00000002081.1)". Lineage: Eukaryota; Metazoa; Chordata; Mammalia; Primates; Cercopithecidae. The record is from RNAcentral.
AAAUAUAUGUAUUUAUAAUUUUGUAAGAUAUUAAAAAAGUCCAAUUAAAAAUGCGCAUGCACACAAUGUAAAACGCGUAAAAAUAUAUUUUUGUAAUUAAUUUAUUCACAGGCUAUACAAUUGGAUGUACCCAUUUGAGUUAAUAAAUUUGUUUUUAAAUAUGAUAAUAAUAAAAUAAAUAAAUGAUCAUACUGCUUUUUGAUAAAUGUAAUUAAAAGAAAUGUAAAGUGAAAAAAAAUAUAUAUAUGAAUGUAUCAUUGAAUUAUGCAUAUUGUGUAAAUUUUAGUUUUACGCAAAAAGUUGUUUUAUUUGUGCAGCAUGAAUAAUUUAAAAAAAUUUAUAAUUGUAUAUAAAAAAGAAAUAAAUAAAUAAGUACAUCAACAAAGUUUAUAUAUAUAUAUUUUAAUGCACAUUUUUUUUUUUUUUUUACUCAUCUUCUCUUUUAUUUUUCCACUUAUCUGACACCUUUGUACUUCCAAACAUAGCUUUUCCCAAAUUUCGACUAACACGUAAUAGUAUUUCAGGAUUAUUGUAAUUACUAACAGCUAGAACAAUAGAAGAAGCCACCUUUUUAGGAUUUUCACUUUCAAAUACUCCAGAUCCGACAAACACUCCAUCCAUACCUAACUGCAUACACAUGGCAGCAUCUGCUGGAGUUGCUACACCACCAGCAGCAAAAUUAACAACAGGUAAUCUUUUUAACUUUCUGGUUUGUUGUAAAAGUUCAAUAGGAGCACGGAUUUUUUUAGCAUAAUUAUAUACUUCACUAUCAUCUAAAGAACAUAAGUAAUUAAUUUCAUUUUUUAAAGUUCUUAUAUGUUUAACAGCUUCAGCUAUAUUACCUGUUCCAGCUUCACCUUUCGUUCUUAUCAUGGAUGCACCUUCAGAUAUUCGUCUUAAGGCUUCUCCUAAAUUAGUACAUCCGCAUACAAAAGUUCUAGCUACACCUUCUUUGUUACGAAGCUCGGAUGGAAUAUUUUCCAAAACCAUAAUACCUAUAGCUCCUGCUUCCUCUGCUAUUUUCGCUUGUUCUACAUUUUUUACGUCCAUUAUAACACCACCUUUUAACAUUUCGCACCAUCCUAGUUUUAAGGAAUUUAUAUCAUCAUUUUUACAGUCUUUCAUUGGUUCAAAUUGGCGAUAAAAAAAAAAAAUUUAAAUAAAUUAAGUCUAUAUAAAUAAGUGUAUAAACA